This 511-nucleotide ribosomal RNA is filed under the name uncultured bacterium. RNAcentral describes it as "bacterial SSU rRNA". It matches the Rfam family "Bacterial small subunit ribosomal RNA", at positions 9 to 526 of the family's 1533-position model. The record is from RNAcentral.
GAGUUUGAUCCUGGCUCAGGACGAACGCUGGCGGCGCGCCUAAUACAUGCAAGUCGAACGGACACCUUCGGGUGUUAGUGGCGGACGGGUGAGUAACACGUGGGCGACCUGCCUUCGAGUGGGGAAUAACGCUGGGAAACCAGCGCUAAUACCGCAUACGCUCCACCUUUCGUUGGGUGGAGGAAAGCUUUAUGCGCUCGAAGAGGGGCCUGCGGCGGAUUAGCUAGUCGGUGGGGUUACGGCCUACCGAGGCGACGAUCCGUAGCUGGUCUGAGAGGAUGAUCAGCCACACUGGGACUGAGACACGGCCCAGACUCCUACGGGAGGCAGCAGUGGGGAAUAUUGCACAAUGGGCGAAAGCCUGACGCAGCGACGCCGCGUGGGGGAAGAAGGCUUUCGGGUUGUAAACCCCUUUCAGGAAGGACGAAGCCACUCGGGUGAAUAGCCCAGAGGGUGACGGUACUUCCAGAAGAAGCCCCGGCUAACUACGUGCCAGCAGCCGCGGUAAUAA